AAAUCCGCUUUGAUAAUGCUGGGAUGUGAUGGGGAGCGAAAUUUAGUAGCGAAGUAGCUGAUUUCACACUGUCAAGAAAAGUCUCUAUCGAGGUUAAAGGUACCCGUACCGCAAACCGACACAGGUGGGUGAGGAGAGUAUCCUAAGGCCAGCGAGAGAACUGUUGUUAAGGAACUCGGCAAAAUGACCCCGUAACUUAGGGAUAAGGGGUGCCACCAUCAGGUGGCCGCAGAGAAUAGGCCCAAGCGACUGUUUACCAAAAACAUAGGUUUCUGCUAAGUCGCAAGACGAUGUAUAGGAGCUGACGCCUGCCCGGUGCUGGAAGGUUAAGGGGAUCUGUUAGAGCAAUCGAAGCAGUGAACUUAAGCCCCAGUAAACGGCGGCCGUAACUAUAACGGUCCUAAGGUAGCGAAAUUCCUUGUCGGGUAAGUUCCGACCCGCACGAAAGGCGUAACGAUUUGGGCACUGUCUCAACAACAGACUCGGUGAAAUUGUAAUUCCGGUGAAGAUGCCGGAUACCUGCGACAGGACGGAAAGACCCCAUGGAGCUUUACUGUAGCUUGACAUUGGGUCUUGGUACUACAUGUACAGGAUAGGUGGGAGGCUUUGAAACCAGGACGCCAGUUUUGGCGGAGCCAUCCUUGGGAUACCACCCUUGUAGUACUGGGACUCUAACCAUAGGCCAUGAAUCUGGUCUUGGGACACUGUCAGGUGGGCAGUUUGACUGGGGCGGUCGCCUCCCAAAAGGUAACGGAGGCGCUCAAAGGUUCUCUCAGUACGGUCGGAAAUCGUACGUAGAGUGUAAAGGCAAAAGAGAGCUUGAUUGCAAGACAUACAGGUCGAGCAAGGAUGAAAAUCGGACUUAGUGAUCCGGUGGUUCUGCGUGGAAGGGCCAUCGCUCAACGGAUAAAAGCUACCCUGGGGAUAACAGGCUUAUCUCCCCCAAGAGUCCACAUCGACGGGGAGGUUUGGCACCUCGAUGUCGGCUCAUCACAUCCUGGGGCUGUAGUAGGUCCCAAGGGUUGGGCUGUUCGCCCAUUAAAGUGGUACGCGAGCUGGGUUCAGAACGUCGUGAGACAGUUCGGUCCCUAUCCGUCGCAGGCGUAGGAAAUUUGAGAAGACCUGUCCUUAGUACGAGAGGACCGGGAUGGACGUACCUCUGGUGUACCAGUUGUCCUGCCAAGGGCAUGGCUGGGUAGCUAUGUACGGAAUGGAUAAGCGCUGAAAGCAUCUAAGCGCGAAGCCAACUUCAAGAUAAGAUUUCCCACCGCAAGGGUAAGACCCCAGAAAGACUAUCUGGUUGAUAGGUCGAAGGUGUAAGUGCAGCAAUGUAUUUAGCUUAUCGAUACUAAUAGGUCGAGGACUUGACCAA
RNAcentral lists this ribosomal RNA (1372 nucleotides) under Clostridioides difficile. RNAcentral describes it as "bacterial LSU rRNA". It matches the Rfam family "Bacterial large subunit ribosomal RNA", at positions 1538 to 2925 of the family's 2925-position model. Lineage: Bacteria; Bacillati; Bacillota; Clostridia; Peptostreptococcales; Peptostreptococcaceae. The record is from RNAcentral.